RNAcentral lists this transfer RNA (77 nucleotides) under Jeotgalibacillus alimentarius. RNAcentral's name for it is "tRNA-Met". It matches the Rfam family "tRNA". From Rfam's summary of the family: Transfer RNA (tRNA) molecules are approximately 80 nucleotides in length. Their secondary structure includes four short double-helical elements and three loops (D, anti-codon, and T loops). The record is from RNAcentral. RNAcentral also lists the same sequence under 13 other names. Lineage: Bacteria; Bacillati; Bacillota; Bacilli; Caryophanales; Caryophanaceae.
GGACCUUUAGCUCAGCUGGUUAGAGCAGACGGCUCAUAACCGUCCGGUCGCAGGUUCGAGUCCUGCAAGGUCCACCA